This 329-nucleotide unclassified non-coding RNA is filed under the name soil metagenome. RNAcentral describes it as "partial contains 5.8S ribosomal RNA, internal transcribed spacer 2, and large subunit ribosomal RNA". The stretch from base 1 to 120 matches the Rfam family "5.8S ribosomal RNA", at positions 35 to 154 of the family's 154-position model. The record is from RNAcentral.
GAUGAAGAACGCAGCGAAAUGCGAUAAGUAAUGUGAAUUGCAGAAAUCAGUGAAUCAUCGAAUCUUUGAACGCACAUUGCGCCCCCUGGUAUUCCGGGGGGCAUGCCUGUCCGAGCGUCAUUACAACCCUCAAGCUCAGCUUGGUGUUGGGCCCCGCCGCCCCGGCGGGCCCUAAAGUCAGUGGCGGUGCCGUCCGGCUCCGAGCGUAGUAAUUCUUCUCGCUCUGGAGGUCCGGUCGUGUGCUCGCCAGCAACCCCCAAUUUUUUUCAGGUUGACCUCGGAUCAGGUAGGGAUACCCGCUGAACUUAAGCAUAUCAAUAAGCGGAGGA